This 3700-nucleotide long non-coding RNA is filed under the name Sus scrofa (pig). RNAcentral's name for it is "lncRNA (ENSSSCG00005005176.1)". The record is from RNAcentral. Lineage: Eukaryota; Metazoa; Chordata; Mammalia; Artiodactyla; Suidae.
CCUACACCACGGCCUCAGCAAUGCUGGAUCCAAGCUGCAUCUGCAGCUUAUACCACAGCUUACGGCAAUGCUGGAUCCUUAGCCCACUGAGCGAGGCCAGGGAUCGAACCCUCACCCUCCCGCUGUGCCACAACAGGACCUCCCUCAAAUAUUUUUAAAACUGCUUUCAUCUUGUCAUAAACCUGAAAUUUCCCUCUGAUUUUUAUAGCGAAUAAUUGAUUUUUUUCUGUCUUGAAGCAGUUUGUAUCAUUGUAUUGAUUUUACAAGAGUUCUUUCAUACUACAUUUUGUUAUGUAACAUUAAGAAAGUUCAUGGAACAAAAAAUUAUAGUGCACACUCUAAUUCACUUAUCUAAUAAGCCACUCAAUUUCUCCGAAUAAGGCAAAACAUCAAGAUUACCUUACAGUUAAAUCUAGUUUCUAAAGGAGAGAUUAUAAUAAUAAUGCAUUUAACAUUUUAAUAAAAUUUUCAUUUAUAGGAUUUGGUUUUGAAAGCUAUGUAUUUUAAAAUAGAGAACUUUAAGUUACAGUGUGAUGAAAUUAGCUAGGAUACCAUUUCUAAAUUACUGUAUUGCUGCCGUAACAGAAAAUUCAUUUUAAGUAUGCAGUGUCAUCAGAUGUCUCUGCUUACAGAGGUUCGUAAAACUUAUCUCCAUAUGGUACCAGUCUAAAUCACAGAUACGUUUUAAUUGAAUUUUUAGAAAUGAAACUUCUCUUAGGCAGAGAUCAAAGAGUUUGCUUGAAUGGGUUUAGAUAAACAGCACCUCUUAAUAAUAUCUCAAAUGGGAAAGUAUCAUUUACCAAAGAUUAGUACAUUUUCUCUCCCAGAUCACAGAACUUAAAGGAUGUAGCCUUUCUAUUUUGACAUUCUUUUGAAGGUUUAUGUUGUUUAUAUAUAGUAAAUUGUCCGUCUUUUCUUAUUAGACAAAUAGAUUUCUAGAAUUGACUUUAGGAUAAAUGAGGUUAACAAACAUAUUAUCUUAGGGGUAUAGCUCUUGAUGCCUUGAUUCUCUGCUUACUUACUAUUUGCCACAUGCAGUGGUAUUUACAACACUGGACAAACUACAGACUGUUUCGUAGUUUGUCCAGCUAGAACAGCCAUGAUUUUGGGAUCUGCUUCCAUAAAAGCAUGGCACAAGAGAGUGCAGUAACCUCUUCACUCUUCCAGUAGUUGGUCUGCAGUCCAGCAGGUUAGGCUGUGAGUAAGAGGACUUGUUAAUAGUAUCAAGUCAACUCAGGCAAAAUGGAGACUUUGUGUUACGUGUGUCACGCUGUCUCAUCACCAUUACAGCAAUUCAGUGAAGCGUGGUUACUUAUAGAUAACAUAGCAUUAUCAUCAUGACAUGAUGACCAUCAGUCCUUUGUAUAGAUGAGUAAACUGAGCCUUAAGGAGGCCAAGAACUUGUCAUAGAUGGCCUUUAUUAUGUUGAAGUACAUUGCUUUUUUAUCCAGUUUGUUGAGAGUUUUUUUUUUUUAUCUCAAGUGAAUGUUGAGUUUUGUCCAUACUUUUUUUUUGCAUGUAUUGAGAUGUUCAUCUGAUUUUUAUCUUUCAUUCUGCUAAUGGGAUGUACUACACUUAUUGAUAGGCAUAUAUAUCAGACGUCAUACUCAGUGGUGAAAGAUGGAAAGCCUUUAUUCUAAGAUCAGCAACAAGACAAGGGUAUCCACUCCCACCAUUCCUAUUCAAUGUAGUACUGCACGUCCUUACCAGAGCAGUCAGGCAAGAGAAGAAAUAACAGGCAUGUGAAUUGAAAACGAAGAAGUCAAGUUGCCUGUUUGCUGAUGGCAUGGUUUUCUAAGUAGAAAACCCUGAAGACUACUGAAAAACUGUUUGAACUAAUAAGUGAAUUCAGUAGAGUUGCAGGAUACAAACUAAUCUAAUCUAAUAUACAGCAUGGUGACUGUAGUUAACAAUGCUCUAUGUAUGAGAGUGGGUCUUAAAAAUUCUCACCACACAGACUGUACCUGUGAGGUGAUGGAUGUGUUAACUAACCUUCUUGUGAUCAUUUCAUAAUAUGUAUAUGUAUAUAGAUCAUGCUGUACACCUUAAAUUUAUCCAGUGUUAUACAUCAAUUAUAUGUCAGUAAAGGUCUGCCAAGAAAAAGGAGAUAAAGGAAUUUAUAUUUGAAGUCCUAGGGGCUCUUAAGUGGUAGAGCUGGAAUCCAAACCCUGAACUUUAUAAUUCCAGAGUCCAAGCUCUUUACUCCCAAUUUGAACGUACAUAUCCUAGAGCUUUCACCUUGUUGCCCUGUAUGUUGAUUCUGCUUCUCUGAUUAGAACAUAAUAGUUGAUAGUUUUCACAGUUGGUGUGCCUCGCUUUCAAUUCUGAGUUCCACUCUGGAGCUGUUCUUAGAUUAGUGGUCUUCAACCUGGAGUAUAUGGACACCUGGUGUUUUCCUGGGAGCUUUACAGGGAUUUUGCAUGCAGAAGUAGUUUAAAUGCUACUUAGUUGCUCAAUGCACAUAUUUACUUUCCUGAAAGUGGUUGCCUGGGAGCCCUUGUGGUUGGCAGAUUCUCCUUUCCUACCUUCCCCUUCACAAAUCGCUUUUCUUUCACUUCACUGAGUCACUCUUAACUUCGCUGCCUGAAUCUUUCAGUAGUUGAUUGCCUCAGGGAAUAAAAACCUGCUUCUCCCAAUAAAGGGACCAUUUAACAAUUCUUAGCUCCUGAGCAAGAAUUUAUAAAUAGCAAAGCAAAGAGAGCUUUGGUCAGACUCAUACAGGGGAGAGCUUUAUUUUAUUUUGGUAGCAAAUGUAGGACAGAUUUCCAUGCCUUAUUUAUUUCUUUGGGAUUGGACUUGAUUGUUGUGGUGUAGGGGGGUUUGCUGAGAUGGCAGAUUUAGCACAUUUAAGUGCACUUAAAAAUGAAGUCAGGCUUUUGUGACCGAUAGUAAGUUGAUUUGGUUUAUUGAUUUGACAGUGAGGACAUGCUUAGCAGUUAGAUUGUUUGGUAGACAUAUUAAGUAAAUGAGUGAAAUCUACAGUUCUCAGGGUUACAGCAAAACAUCCUGGGUGUGUGCAUAUAUAUGCCCUAGUGAAAUAUUAGUCACUCAUAAAGCAGAAGGAAGUCUUUGCCUGUUGAGACAGCAUGGAUGAACCUGGAGGACAUUAUGCUAAGUGAAAUAAGCCAGGUGACACAGAAAGAAAAAUAUCGUAUAUCAUUUAUAUGUGAAAUCUCAAAAAGUCAGACUCACAGAACCAGGAGCAGAAUGAUGGUUUCCAGGGACUAAGGGGUGGGGGAAAUGAGUUAGAUGUUGGUUAAACUUGCAGUUGUGAGAUGAAUAAGCUUUAGAGAUGAAAUGCAUAGUGUGAUGACUGUUGUUAGUAGUACUGUAUUAUACUUGAAAUUUGCUAAGAGACUAGAUCUUAAAUGUUCUUACCACAAAAAAAGUUAACUAGGUAAGUGAUGUAUGUGUUUUUGAUUGUGGUAAUCAUCUCAUACAGUAUAUAUGUGUAUUAAAUCAUCAUGUUGUACACCCUGAAUAUAUAAUUUUAGUUUGUUAGUUUUACCUCAUUAAAGCUCGAAAAAUAGAAUACAUAUAUAUAAUCUUUGAAAUCAUAUUCUCUGCCUUCAUUAAAUUUAUGAUAAAAACUUAAGAUGUCCGAGUUCCCUUGUGGCACAGUGGGUUAAGGAUCCAGUGUUGUCACUGCAGUGGCUUGGGUUACUGAUGUGGCUUGGGUUCAGUGCCUGGCCCAGAAACU